GACGAACGCUGGCGGCGUGCUUAACACAUGCAAGUCGAACGAAGUGGCGAACGGGUGAGUAACGCGUAUUCCACCUGCCCUUCAGAGGGGGACAACAGUUGGAAACGACUGCUAAUACCGCAUACUGAAGGAGGGGAUUGCGUCUGAUUAGCUAGUUGGCGGGGUAACGGCCCACCAAGGCGAUGAUCAGUAGGCGGUCUGAGAAGAUGAACGGCCACAUUGGGACUGAGACACGGCCCAGACUCCUACGGGAGGCAGCAGUGGGGAAUCUUCCGCAAUGGACGAAAGUCUGACGGAGCAACGCCGCGUGGGUGAUGACGGCCUUCGGGUUGUAAAGCUCUGUUAAUCGGGACGCGGUACCGGAAUAGAAAGCCACGGCUAACUACGUGCCAGCCGCCGCGGUAAUUC
This 408-nucleotide ribosomal RNA is filed under the name uncultured bacterium. RNAcentral describes it as "partial 16S ribosomal RNA". It matches the Rfam family "Bacterial small subunit ribosomal RNA", at positions 28 to 526 of the family's 1533-position model. The record is from RNAcentral.